This 475-nucleotide ribosomal RNA is filed under the name uncultured bacterium. RNAcentral's name for it is "bacterial SSU rRNA". It matches the Rfam family "Bacterial small subunit ribosomal RNA", at positions 38 to 507 of the family's 1533-position model. The record is from RNAcentral.
GGCGGCAUGCCUUACACAUGCGAAGUCGAACGGCAGCACGGGAGCAAUCCUGGUGGCGAGUGGCGAACGGGUGAGUAAUAUAUCGGAACGUGCCCAGUCGUGGGGGAUAACGUAGCGAAAGCUACGCUAAUACCGCAUACGAUCUAUGGAUGAAAGCGGGGGAUCGCAAGACCUCGCGCGAUUGGAGCGGCCGAUAUCAGAUUAGGUAGUUGGUGAGGUAAAGGCUCACCAAGCCGACGAUCUGUAGCUGGUCUGAGAGGACGACCAGCCACACUGGGACUGAGACACGGCCCAGACUCCUACGGGAGGCAGCAGUGGGGAAUUUUGGACAAUGGGCGCAAGCCUGAUCCAGCAAUGCCGCGUGCAGGAUGAAGGCCUUCGGGUUGUAAACUGCUUUUGUACGGAACGAAACGGUGAGCUCUAAUACAGUUUGCUAAUGACGGUACCGUAAGAAUAGGCACCGGCUAACUACGUG